GUGCUUACACAUGCAAGUCGAGCGAUGAGAUCACUUCGGUGAAGGAUUAGCGGCGAACGGGUGAGGAACACGUGAAGAAUCUGCCUUCAACUCUGGGAUAACUCCGGGAAACCGGGGCUAAUACCGGAUAUGAGCCUUGGCCGCAUGGCCGGGGCUGGAAAGUUUUUCGGUUGAAGAUGACUUCGCGGCCUAUCAGCUUGUUGGUGAGGUAAUGGCUCACCAAGGCGACGACGGGUAGCCGGCCUGAGAGGGCGACCGGCCACACUGGGACUGAGACACGGCCCAGACUCCUACGGGAGGCAGCAGUGGGGAAUAUUGGGCAAUGGAGGAAACUCUGACCCAGCGACGCCGCGUGCGGGAUGAAGGCCUUCGGGUUGUAAACCGCUUUCAGCAGGGAAUAAGCGAAAGUGAAGGUACCUGCAGAAGAAGCACCGGCUAACUAUGUGCCAGCAGCCGCGGUAAUACAUAGGGUGCAAGCGUUGUCCGGAAUUAUUGGGCGUAAAGAGCUCGUAGGUGGUUUGUUACGUCGGAUGUGAAAUGCAGGGGCUCAACCCCUGACUUGCAUCCGAUACGGGCAAGCUAGAGUUUGGUAGGGGAGACUGGAAUUCCUGGUGUAGCGGUGGAAUGCGCAGAUAUCAGGAGGAACACCGAUGGCGAAGGCAGGUCUCUGGGCCAAUACUGACACUGAGGAGCGAAAGCGUGGGGAGCGAACAGGAUUAGAUACCCUGGUAGUCCACGCCGUAAACGGUGGGCGCUAGUUGUGCGAACCUUCCACGGUUUGUGCGACGCAGCUAACGCAUUAAGCGCCCCGCCUGGGGAGUACGAUCGCAAGAUUAA
Molecule: ribosomal RNA, 837 nt
Filed under: uncultured Micrococcineae bacterium
Lineage: Bacteria; Bacillati; Actinomycetota; Actinomycetes; Micrococcales
Description: bacterial SSU rRNA
Rfam family: Bacterial small subunit ribosomal RNA
Source: RNAcentral